RNAcentral lists this ribosomal RNA (253 nucleotides) under uncultured Alistipes sp. Its description in RNAcentral is "partial 16S ribosomal RNA". It matches the Rfam family "Bacterial small subunit ribosomal RNA", at positions 524 to 776 of the family's 1533-position model. The record is from RNAcentral. Lineage: Bacteria; Pseudomonadati; Bacteroidota; Bacteroidia; Bacteroidales; Rikenellaceae.
UACGGAGGAUCCAAGCGUUAUCCGGAUUUAUUGGGUUUAAAGGGUGCGUAGGCGGUUUUUUAAGUUAGAGGUGAAAUCCCGGGGCUCAACUCCGGAACUGCCUCUGAUACUGGAAGGCUAGAGAUUGAUUGCUGUGGGCGGAAUGUGUAGUGUAGCGGUGAAAUGCUUAGAUAUUACACAGAACACCGAUUGCGAAGGCAGCUCACAAAGUCAUAUCUGACGCUGAGGCACGAAAGCGUGGGGAGCAAACAGG